AUCAAUCCAUUGACGGAUUUGACCAAUAGUUCGAUUUGAUUUCUUCCACUCUAACUACUUGGCGGAGUCAGGAUUUUUACCCAUCAAUUCUAUGGGAUCAGACAAAUCUUUACAGCUUAGGAGAUCUUCCAUCCGAGGUCUCCAUAGCAUGUAAUUUGUGGUAGUCAGCGUAAUCAUGGCUCCGAAAGAUGAUGUUGACUCUUCUGUGGACAUUAUCAUCUAACAAAAUAAUUUUUCAACACGAUCGGGGUUGAAUUUUUAAACACGGAGUUCACCGUUGCGUCCGGAACGG
This 292-nucleotide long non-coding RNA is filed under the name Nicotiana benthamiana. RNAcentral's name for it is "long non-coding RNA (NBEN_LNC010775)". The record is from RNAcentral. Lineage: Eukaryota; Viridiplantae; Streptophyta; Magnoliopsida; Solanales; Solanaceae.